RNAcentral lists this ribosomal RNA (253 nucleotides) under uncultured bacterium. RNAcentral's name for it is "partial 16S ribosomal RNA". It matches the Rfam family "Bacterial small subunit ribosomal RNA", at positions 524 to 776 of the family's 1533-position model. The record is from RNAcentral.
UACGUAGGAGGCGAGCGUUGUCCGGAAUCACUGGGUGUAAAGCGCGUGUAGGCGGCCUGCCAAGUCUGCUGUGAAAGCGCCGGGCUUAACCGGGCGAGGUCGGUGGAAACUGGCGGGCUGGAGGCCGGUAGAGGGGGGUGGAAUUCCCGGUGUAGUGGUGAAAUGCGUAGAGAUCGGGAGGAACACCAGUGGCGAAGGCGGCCCCCUGGGCCGGGCCUGACGCUGAGACGCGAAAGCGCGGGGAGCGAACGGG